Molecule: transfer RNA, 71 nt
Filed under: Loxodonta africana (African savanna elephant)
Lineage: Eukaryota; Metazoa; Chordata; Mammalia; Proboscidea; Elephantidae
Rfam family: tRNA
About the family: Transfer RNA (tRNA) molecules are approximately 80 nucleotides in length. Their secondary structure includes four short double-helical elements and three loops (D, anti-codon, and T loops). Further hydrogen bonds mediate the characteristic L-shaped molecular structure. tRNAs have two regions of fundamental functional importance: the anti-codon, which is responsible for specific mRNA codon recognition, and the 3' end, to which the tRNAs corresponding amino acid is attached (by aminoacyl-tRNA synthetases). tRNAs cope with the degeneracy of the genetic code in two manners: having more than one tRNA (with a specific anti-codon) for a particular amino acid; and 'wobble' base-pairing, i.e. permitting non-standard base-pairing at the 3rd anti-codon position.
Source: Rfam by way of RNAcentral
GCAGUGGUGGUUUGAUGGUAGAAUUCUCACCUCCUGUGUGGGAGACUGGGGUUCGAUUCCUAGCCAAUGCA